RNAcentral lists this ribosomal RNA (578 nucleotides) under uncultured rumen bacterium. RNAcentral describes it as "bacterial SSU rRNA". It matches the Rfam family "Bacterial small subunit ribosomal RNA", at positions 41 to 634 of the family's 1533-position model. The record is from RNAcentral.
GGCACGCUUAACACAUGCAAGUCGAACGGAGAUAUCUUGGUUUACUGAGAUAUCUUAGUGGCGGACGGGUGAGUAACACGUGAGCAACCUGCCUCUGAGAGAGGGAUAGCUUCUGGAAACGGAUGGUAAUACCUCAUAACAUAACGAAGCCGCAUGACUUUGUUAUCAAAGAUUUAUCACUCAGAGAUGGGCUCGCGUCUGAUUAGAUAGUUGGUGAGGUAACGGCUCACCAAGUCGACGAUCAGUAGCCGGACUGAGAGGUUGAACGGCCACAUUGGGACUGAGACACGGCCCAGACUCCUACGGGAGGCAGCAGUGGGGAAUAUUGCACAAUGGGGGGAACCCUGAUGCAGCGAUGCCGCGUGGAGGAAGAAGGUUUUCGGAUUGUAAACUCCUGUCUUAAAGGACGAUAAUGACGGUACUUUAGGAGGAAGCUCCGGCUAACUACGUGCCAGCAGCCGCGGUAAUACGUAGGGAGCGAGCGUUGUCCGGAAUUACUGGGUGUAAAGGGAGCGUAGGCGGGACUGCAAGUCAGAUGUGAAAUACAUGGGCUUAACCCAUGGGCUGCAUUUGAAACU